This 382-nucleotide long non-coding RNA is filed under the name Panax ginseng (ginseng). Its description in RNAcentral is "long non-coding RNA (PGIN_LNC004751)". Lineage: Eukaryota; Viridiplantae; Streptophyta; Magnoliopsida; Apiales; Araliaceae. The record is from RNAcentral.
UAUAUUAUGCUUUUUUUUCUCCUACUUUUGUUAUAUAAAUGGAGAACAAUAAGAUAAAAAUUUCUUUAGCAAAACUUGGAAGUUCAAAUUUGGAUGUCUGAAGGCCUGGGUUGGGCCCGGCCUGAUCUGAUCUGUAGGCCUUAACAGGCUUUAUAUUGGGUCUUUUACAUAAGUAUACAACAAAUAAAAAGUAAUUACAAGAAAAGUGCAUCAACUAAAUAAUUACAAAGAGUGUAAUUAAGACUCAUAUUACAAAAAUAGUACAAUUCACAUUAAUAAAGAAACCUAAAAUCAAGGAUAACUAAUAAUUCAAAUUCAAAUUCAAAUCUUGUCUCUAACAACAAUUUCAAAUCCAUAUUUCAAAAUUCAAAUCAAAAUGAGA